This 301-nucleotide ribosomal RNA is filed under the name uncultured bacterium. RNAcentral's name for it is "partial 16S ribosomal RNA". It matches the Rfam family "Bacterial small subunit ribosomal RNA", at positions 509 to 807 of the family's 1533-position model. The record is from RNAcentral.
CAGUAGCCGCGGGAAUACGGAGGGUGCAAGCGUUAAUCGGAAUUACUGGGCGUAAAGCGUGCGUAGGCGGUUCGUUAAGUCUGUUGUGAAAGCCCCGGGCUCAACCUGGGAAUGGCAAUGGAUACUGGCGAGCUAGAGUGUGUCAGAGGAUGGUGGAAUUCCCGGUGUAGCGGUGUAAUGCGUAGAGAUCGGGAGGAACAUCAGUGGCGAAGGCGGCCAUCUGGGACAACACUGACGCUGAGGCACGAAAGCGUGGGGAGCAAACAGGAUUAGAUACCCCGGUAGUCCCUGUCUCUUAUAC